AGCUCCAGUAGCGUAUAUUAAAGUUGUUGCAGUUAAAAAGCUCGUAGUUGGAUUUCUGGCGUGACGUGUCUGACCCGCCACAAUUAUGUGUGUGAGUGUCGGUUCGCGUCUGCCAUCCUUCUGGAGAACGUGUCUACCAUUAAUAGUGGCCGGAUGCGCGAUCCAGAUCUUUUACUUUGAAGAAAUUAGAGUGUUCAAAGCAGGCUCGCGCUGUGAAUACAUUAGCAUGGAAUAAUAAUUUAGGACUACGGUUCUAUUUUGUUGGUUUCUAGAACUGAAGUAAUGAUUGAUAGGGAUAGUUGGGGGGUGCUAGUAUUCAGCGGCCAGAGGUGAAAUUCUCGGAUUCGCUGAAGACUAACUUAUGCGAAAGCAUUCACCAAGGAUGUCUUCUUUAAUC
This 397-nucleotide ribosomal RNA is filed under the name uncultured eukaryote. Its description in RNAcentral is "SSU rRNA". It matches the Rfam family "Eukaryotic small subunit ribosomal RNA", at positions 587 to 978 of the family's 1831-position model. The record is from RNAcentral.